UACAGAGGUCCCGAGCGUUGUUCGGAUUCACUGGGCGUAAAGGGUGCGUAGGUGGUGAGGUAAGUCGGAUGUGAAAUCUCCGAGCUCAACUCGGAAAUGGCAUUGGAAACUACCUUGCUAGAGGGUUGGAGGGGGGACUGGAAUACUUGGUGUAGCAGUGAAAUGCGUAGAUAUCAAGUGGAACACCAGUGGCGAAGGCGAGUCCCUGGACAACUCCUGACACUGAGGCACGAAAGCUAGGGGAGCAAACAGG
Molecule: ribosomal RNA, 253 nt
Filed under: uncultured bacterium
Lineage: Bacteria
Description: partial 16S ribosomal RNA
Rfam family: Bacterial small subunit ribosomal RNA
Source: RNAcentral